UACGUAGGGGGCGAGCGUUGUCCGGAUUUAUUGGGCGUAAAGAGCUCGUAGGCGGCUUGGCAAGUCGGGUGUGAAACCUCCAGGCUCAACCUGGAGACGCCACUCGAUACUGCCAUGGCUAGAGUCCGGUAGGGGACCACGGAAUUCCUGGUGUAGCGGUGAAAUGCGCAGAUAUCGGGAAGAACACCCGUGGCGAAGGCGGCUCUCUGGGACGGUACUGACGCUGAGACGCGAAAGCGUGGGGAGCAAACAGG
Molecule: ribosomal RNA, 254 nt
Filed under: uncultured bacterium
Lineage: Bacteria
Description: partial 16S ribosomal RNA
Rfam family: Bacterial small subunit ribosomal RNA
Source: RNAcentral